GUUGACUAAGGCGGGCACCCUGGGCCGAAGGCACAUGACUGUGAGCAGAUGGUCUGCACCAGUGGGGAGGAUGGGGAAAGGGCAGAGUUGGCCCAAGGCAGGAAAUGAACACUGGUUUCCCUGAGCUGCAGCCUGCCCGGAUCCUGCAGGUUAGGAAAUGCCCUGGCCCUGAAGCAUCCAGGAGUGGGAGAGGCUGUGUGGCCAAGCCACGUGUUCUGAGUCUGUCGGAGGAACACCUUUGCACGUCAGCAGGAAGCUGGCUUCCAGGACUUGGCUGGAACACUGCAGACUCAUUCAGAGAAUAAAGAAAAUCCAUCUGCCCACAAGGCCCCAUGCACCAGAACCACUGAGCUAAACCCCUGGCCCUCAGACUUGGAUUUGAAUCUGCUCUACACACAUGGCUCACCUAGAGCCUUAUCCUGGCACCAACCCCUUCCUGUCUCAGCUUCCUGGGAAUGACCAGCCUUCCUUUCCAGUAAAGGAAAAGACACUGGAACACAGGAACUGGGUGAGUUGUAAUUGUGUCUUGCUUUGGAUCAUAAAGAAGUGAGAAUGUUGUGCCUGAGAUGCACUGACUUCAUGCUUGCUAACAGGACAUUGGUCAUGACCGUGAAAGAGGCCCAGUGGCUGAUGUAACCCACUGCAUCUUGUGUCAUGCUAAGUCAUUCUCUCCUGUGGGCACCUUGGCUUCCAGGAGCUACAAAUCUGAUCGACAGAUAUUUUGUGACAAGACUCAAAGCCCCCCACCCCCCGCCCCGCCCCGCCCCAGGCAGCAGCAAC
RNAcentral lists this long non-coding RNA (780 nucleotides) under Heterocephalus glaber (naked mole-rat). RNAcentral describes it as "lncRNA (ENSHGLG00100046754.1)". The record is from RNAcentral. Lineage: Eukaryota; Metazoa; Chordata; Mammalia; Rodentia; Bathyergidae.